Non-coding RNA from Schistosoma mansoni, 46 nucleotides. The record is from Rfam. Lineage: Eukaryota; Metazoa; Platyhelminthes; Trematoda; Strigeidida; Schistosomatidae.
GCACUGCUGGAGAGUCCCACGAUAGGACGAAACGGCCGUCCAGUGC